This 71-nucleotide transfer RNA is filed under the name Apostasia shenzhenica. RNAcentral's name for it is "tRNA-Thr". The record is from RNAcentral. Lineage: Eukaryota; Viridiplantae; Streptophyta; Magnoliopsida; Asparagales; Orchidaceae.
GGUCUUUUAGUGGAAUGUUAGAAUAGGUAACUUGUCAUUACUGGGCACUAGUUCGAUUCUAGUAGUCGGCA